GUGCCUGCUUCAACAGCACAUAUACUAAAGCCAGAAGUAUGCAGAAAGAUUAGCAUGGUCCCUGCACAAGGACACACAAAUUCAUGAAGCAGAAUAGUAAUAA
Erinaceus europaeus (western European hedgehog) is the source of this 103-nucleotide non-coding RNA. The record is from Rfam. Lineage: Eukaryota; Metazoa; Chordata; Mammalia; Eulipotyphla; Erinaceidae.